Molecule: long non-coding RNA, 1678 nt
Organism: Pseudomyrmex gracilis
Lineage: Eukaryota; Metazoa; Arthropoda; Insecta; Hymenoptera; Formicidae
Exons: 6
Source: RefSeq, a predicted model, not a curated record
AUUUAUAUUCAAACUUGUUACUUUACUAAAAACUAAUAUUUAAAAAAUUCUAGUGAUCACUAUAAAUUUGUAGUAUUUAACGUUUAAAAUAAAAAAGUUGUGCAUAAAUUUUGUAUUACGUACAAAAAAAGUAACGGAUAUUGUAACGGUAACGGUAACGAGUAACUUGUUAACAAAAUGAACGGUAACGGUAACGAGUUACUUUUAUAAAUAAUAAUGAUGCGAUGUUCUGUUGCAUAAUACUGAUGACUACGUGACUGCCAUUUUCGCCUCUCUUUUUCUUAACCGAAUAUCCAUGUAGCAUAUCUUUUCUUAUCUAUAAUCUUCAUGAUCUUGAAUGGAUCAUUAUUUUUGUAAGUUUUUAUUAAAACACUGAAGAAGAUCCCAUAGUAGAUCAAGACGUUUGUUGGAACUUUUUUAAAAUCUUGGAAUUGUGGAGGAGUUGUGCCCGAACGUCUGGUGUUGGCUUGUUAUUGCCAUUUCCUUAAUUCUUUUUACUUUUAUAAAGUAACUUUCCCAACUUUGGUAAAUUAAUGUUCGCAGAAGAAUACACGAACGCUUUGAUGUUAUGGAUGCCAAAUUCAAAAAAAUAACUACAAUGUUGGAACAUGUGCUGAAGUGCGUGCAAGAUGGAAAACGUAUGCCACGCAAGCCGGAGAUCCUUCCUAUAUCAUCAAUUGAAGAAAUAGAUGCGUUUGAAAUUAUCGACGAUGAUGUUUAUUCAACAAUUGUGAAUUAUUUCCGCUACAUCGGUGGCUUUACACUUAAGGAAGCUGUAAAUCUGUGCCUGAAGGAGGGACUCAAAGAUUCUGUAACCCCAUCUUAUACUUGGUGAGGUCGCGAAGGAAGACAAUCAUUAUAAAACACUCAUUUUGUUGUAGCAAUCUACGAAGCUGUAUCUUAGAAUCGUCAUUUUGAAAAGCCGUCACGUUCAGAGUUUCAAGCACAGAUCAGAGAGACUCUGCGAAUUGCAAAACAGCGAUUUAGAAGCAGAACACGCGGGCCACGUAAUGCUCAGCAGAAACCCGUCGUAAAGAACCGUCGCCAAGUAUGGAGCGACGAGCAACCAGAGCAACCACAAGAGCGUAACGAGUGAUUGAUUUCAAGUUUAAGAGUCUUGGAAGAUGAGAAGACAACCACCGUACAUAAAGGCUACGAAAUGGAAAACAAUGUAUUGAGAAGCCGUUGAAACAUCGUUCGUGGAGGAUGAUUAUGAGGACUCUCAAUGAGAUUGCGGAAGAUUUUAAUUUUUAAUCUCUUUUAAAGCACGUAUCAGAUCUGUGCCAUUGAAAUUGAGAGUACUUUGGCAUUCGACGAAUUCUUUGGGAUUUGGAUCUUAAUCAAUGGAGGAACAAGAUCAGCAAAAGAAGACCACCACCAAUUAUCGAGAGCGAGGAAAAUUACAUUAGAUAUAUUUAGAUAUAGAAAUAUUUUGUUUUUAUUAAAUAAAUAAUACUUUAAACACACAUUCUCACACACAAAACUAUAUUUUCUACAUAUUUAUAAAAUAAACGAAAUUCAUAAAGGCUAAAAGUGUUACGUCUUGGCCCACGGUUACGGUCGGGCUAUGGUGGAGUAACAGAGAGCUGUCGUUUCUCUGUCUUCGCGCAGCAGGUAGGCGAUUCUGUUGCGGCAGAGUCGAGCGAGUUUGUAUGCUCUCACGAACAGGUCAACAGCA